GUUCUUCCAAUGUUCCAAAGUAAGUAUAUUGCCAUGAUCUAUGCUCUUACUCAAUUAGUGAUAGAACACAAAUAAUUAGUUUAACAUAAACCAUACUCACUCCUAGUAAUGUUAUAUUACACUGAACGCAUUUCACAACUGCUUUAUCUCAUUGAACUGGUUACGUCUUGAAUUCCCAGCUACCCAUUCCCUCUGUGCUGCCU
Molecule: non-coding RNA, 203 nt
Organism: Pelobates cultripes (western spadefoot toad)
Lineage: Eukaryota; Metazoa; Chordata; Amphibia; Anura; Pelobatidae
Source: the annotation of a GenBank genome assembly